RNAcentral lists this ribosomal RNA (748 nucleotides) under Stenotrophomonas geniculata. RNAcentral describes it as "bacterial SSU rRNA". It matches the Rfam family "Bacterial small subunit ribosomal RNA", at positions 36 to 772 of the family's 1533-position model. The record is from RNAcentral. Lineage: Bacteria; Pseudomonadati; Pseudomonadota; Gammaproteobacteria; Lysobacterales; Lysobacteraceae.
CCGGGACCGGGUAGGCUACACAUGCAGUCCGGCGGCAGCACAGAGGAGCUUGCUCCUUGGGUGGCGAGUGGCGGACGGGUGAGGAAUACAUCGGAAUCUACUCUGUCGUGGGGGAUAACGUAGGGAAACUUACGCUAAUACCGCAUACGACCUACGGGUGAAAGCAGGGGACCUUCGGGCCUUGCGCGAUUGAAUGAGCCGAUGUCGGAUUAGCUAGUUGGCGGGGUAAAGGCCCACCAAGGCGACGAUCCGUAGCUGGUCUGAGAGGAUGAUCAGCCACACUGGAACUGAGACACGGUCCAGACUCCUACGGGAGGCAGCAGUGGGGAAUAUUGGACAAUGGGCGCAAGCCUGAUCCAGCCAUACCGCGUGGGUGAAGAAGGCCUUCGGGUUGUAAAGCCCUUUUGUUGGGAAAGAAAUCCAGCUGGCUAAUACCCGGUUGGGAUGACGGUACCCAAAGAAUAAGCACCGGCUAACUUCGUGCCAGCAGCCGCGGUAAUACGAAGGGUGCAAGCGUUACUCGGAAUUACUGGGCGUAAAGCGUGCGUAGGUGGUCGUUUAAGUCCGUUGUGAAAGCCCUGGGCUCAACCUGGGAACUGCAGUGGAUACUGGGCGACUAGAGUGUGGUAGAGGGUAGCGGAAUUCCUGGUGUAGCAGUGAAAUGCGUAGAGAUCAGGAGGAACAUCCAUGGCGAAGGCAGCUACCUGGACCAACACUGACACUGAGGCACGAAAGCGUGGGGAGCAAA